RNAcentral lists this ribosomal RNA (600 nucleotides) under uncultured bacterium. RNAcentral describes it as "bacterial SSU rRNA". It matches the Rfam family "Bacterial small subunit ribosomal RNA", at positions 95 to 702 of the family's 1533-position model. The record is from RNAcentral.
GCGGCGGACGGGUGAGUAUGUCUGGGAACUGCCUGAUGGAGGGGGAUAACUACUGAAACGGUAGCUAAUACCGCAUAACGUCGCAAGACCAAAGAGGGGGACCUUCGGGCCUCUUGCCAUCAGAUGUGCCCAGAUGGGAUUACUAGUAGUGGGGUAACGGCUCACCUAGCGACGAUCCCUACUGGUCUGAAGGAUGACCACCACACUGGAACUGAAACACGGUCCAACUCCUACGGGAGGCACAGUGGGGAAUAUUGCACAAUGGGCGCAAGCCUGAUGCAGCCAUGCCGCGUGUAUGAAGAAGGCCUUCGGGUUGUAAAGUACUUUCAGCGGGGAGGAAGGUGUUGUGGUUAAUAACCACAGCAAUUGACGUUACCCGCAAAGAAGCACCGGCUAACUCCGUGCCAGCAGCCGCGGUAAUACGGAGGGUGCAAGCGUUAAUCGGAAUUACUGGGCGUAAAGCGCACGCAGGCGGUCUGUCAAGUCGGAUGUGAAAUCCCCGGGCUCAACCUGGGAACUGCAUUCGAAACUGGGCAGGCUAGAGUCUUGUAGAGGGGGGUAGAAUUCCAGGUGUAGCGGUGAAAUGCGUAAAGAUCUGGA